This 1266-nucleotide long non-coding RNA is filed under the name Salmo salar (Atlantic salmon). RNAcentral's name for it is "lncRNA (ENSSSAG00000122033.1)". The record is from RNAcentral. Lineage: Eukaryota; Metazoa; Chordata; Actinopteri; Salmoniformes; Salmonidae.
ACGGAGCCCCUGCUGCAGCAGUUGAAUAGCUACCUGGGGCUCAAAUUCCAAUCUCCACAGGGUGUAUUACCUCACCUUCUUACUGACGCCAAGCAGGACCUCCGCUCAAAGCACUCAGAUGGGUGUGUGUGUGUGUGUGUGUGUGUGUGUGUGUGUGUGUGUGUGUGUGUGUGUGUGUGUGUGUGUGUGCGUGCGUGCGUGCGUGUGUGCUUGCAGCCAUGGGAAUUAGUUGUUGAUAAUCCUGGUAGAUGGCGUGUCUCAGUUUUCAGCAUCCUCAUUAGUUACCCAUCAGCCUGAUUGACAGGUCAGCCAUCACAUGUAAAUCUGGCAAUUUGUUUCAGAUGGCGGUUUCAGGAUGAGGCAGGAGGUAAUGGAGGAAGCAACACCUAGUCUACGUCACAUACUGACUGGUAGUCCUGUCUAUACACUGGUAGUACUGUCUACACACUGGUAGUCCUGUCUAUACACACUGGUAGUCCUGUCUACACACAGUGGUAGUCCUGUCUAUACACACUGGUAGUCCUGUCUAUACACUGGUAGUCCUGUCUACACACUGGUAGUCCUGUCUAUACACACUGGUAGUCCUGUCUAUACACACUGGUAGUCCUGUCUACACACUGGUAGUCCUGUCUACACACAGUGGUAGUCCUGUCUACACACACUGGUAGUCCUGUCUACACACACUGGUAGUCCUGUCUACACACACUGGUAGUCCUGUCUAUACACACUGGUAGUCCUGUCUACACACUGGUAGUCCUGUCUAUACACACUGGUAGUCCUGUCUAUACACACUGGUAGUCCUGUCUACACACACUGGUAGUCCUGUCUAUACACACUGGUAGUCCUGUCUAUACACUGGUAGUCCUGUCUAUACACUGGUAGUCCUGUCUAUACACUGGUAUCCUGUCUAUACACACUGGUAGUCCUGUCUAUACACACUGGUAGUCCUGUCUAUACACACUGGUAGUCCUGUCUAUACACUGGUAGUCCUGUCUACACACUGGUAGUCCUGUCUAUACACACUGGUAGUCCUGUCUAUACACUGGUAGUCCUGUCUAUAUACACUGGUAGUCCUGUCUAUAUACACUGGUAGUCCUGUCUACACACUGGUAGUCCUGUCUACACACUGGUAGUCCUGUCUAUACACUGGUAGUCCUGUCUACACACUGGUAGUCCUGUCUAUACACACUGGUAGUCCUGUCUACACACACUGGUAGUCCUGUCUAUAUACACUGGUAGUCCUGUCUACACACACUGGUAGUCCUG